RNAcentral lists this microRNA (22 nucleotides) under Equus caballus (horse). Its description in RNAcentral is "eca-miR-9154". The record is from miRBase by way of RNAcentral. Lineage: Eukaryota; Metazoa; Chordata; Mammalia; Perissodactyla; Equidae.
UUUGCAGUGUCAGCUAUGGGCC